Molecule: long non-coding RNA, 2673 nt
Organism: Helianthus annuus (common sunflower)
Lineage: Eukaryota; Viridiplantae; Streptophyta; Magnoliopsida; Asterales; Asteraceae
Exons: 8
Source: RefSeq, a predicted model, not a curated record
UCCGCAAAAGUCAGGGUGUGACAGGAAGCAUGUUGUUAUGAACGCCACUGCGUUUUUGACAUUGUUAAUGUUUUAUUGAUUAGGUUAAUUUUGGUUUCUCUUGUGAGUUUCGGCGAGACUAGGGUUUCAAAUCUAUGAUUUAGGUUAUCAGAUCUACGAUUAUGGAUUUUAGAAACAAAAAUCGUUCUAGGGUUAUGAUUUUUUUUAAUGUAGCUGUUAUUUAAUUCAUGUUAGCUCUUUCCCAUCAUAUUUACACAAUUUCUAAUUUUUAUACAUAUAGUAUGUAUUCGGUCUAGGGCCUUUAUAAACUACAUUGGUGAAAAUGGAAAUUGGCUCUGGCAAAGAUGAUUGCUAUACAAGCCGGAAAAGGUCGCAUCCGAUGAAAUCCUUCGUCUUUGGUGAUUCAGUUUUGUUUACUGUCAUUGAACAUUCUUAGUUUGUUUAUCAGUGGGUGAAUCAUCCCAAGAUGUUAGAUGUCGAAUGCAAGAGGACAUUUAAGGACACUAACUUUAAAGAAUGGAAGCUUGUGAUUCAAUAAAUAAUCAAGUUGGACAAAUAUACAAGGGGAAUGCGAAAGUAUCUCAUGGGGAUGAUAAUGUUGUGUGAAGGGUGUUUGAAGUUACUGUCAUCAGUGGCGAAACUUGAAAAAAAAGUUCGGGGGGUCGAAAACGUAUAUACCUAAAUUUUUUUUUAUAAAACCGGGGGUCGAAAACGUAUAUACCUACAAAAUUCUAUACGAAACGUACAUAUAUAACACUACUGGCCGAAAAGUUCGGGGGGUUGGGCGCCCCCUCCCGCCCCUUAAAUCAUGCGCCCCUGACUGUCAUGAUAGAAAGCUCUUUCUUCAGCUGAAGUGGUAUGGUUACGGAUCCUCAAAGAGCUUAAACUGUACGUUGAUCCGAAUCUUGAUCCGGUGCUCAUAGUGCCUGGGAUUGCUAAAUAACAUUUAAAUGCUAAAGAUGGUGAAACGGGGAAGAAAGAGCGAGUUUGGGUAGUUAAUCGUGAAUUUAGAGAUAAACUUUGGUGUAAAUUUGAUCCUGAAUCGGGGCUUUUGAAUUAGGGUGCACACAUUGCUAGCCAGAACCGAGGUCAAUGAGGUAUGGUUGUCGGGUCUCUUUUAAGAACAUAACCAGUUUGGGUCGUGCCAGUUCGGACUUGGUAUACCACUCGCCCCGCUGCACCUUUUUUGUCAGGUAUAAUGUUAUCAUAUGUUAGUUUUGCAUGGUUUUGUCGGGUCUCUUUUUCAUUAGUUUUUACUCGAUUAUCUUUAGAAUUUGUAAGACAUUUAUUGAAGCAAAAAUUAUUAACUACACAUGAAAGUAUAAAUUUUGCAGCUACUUCAAUCAGAUUUAAUCCUCAUGUGGCAGGGUAGUUGAAAGAAAUAUAUGCUUUAUGAGACCUUGCUUCUUAAUUGACAUCCACUUUUUGGCAACUAUUUUCUUGCAUAAGCAAAUUCAAACAUCUUAAAAAUCUUAUUUUAACUAUAAUAUGGGUAUGUUUGUUAAUUUAAAAUUUUCAAUCAAGAACAAGUGGGGUGGAUUGGUUACUUAUCAUAGUACACGGUUCGCUAUGUAGAGAAGAAAAAACUAAUGUAUACAGAUGCACCACAAGAUGUGUAGACCAUAGAAAUCUAUUAUCUCAGAUUAUAUAGAUUAUAUGAAGAUGUGAUCGUGUUUGAUCACGUGCAAAAGGUACUCGAUAGCAUAAUUGCAUACCGUUUUCAGUUUCAUGAAUCUUUAUUAUAAUUAUGAUUCUUUAACAAGUUGAGACUUUUUCGUUUUCAUUUAUUCGGUUCAUUGUAAUUUAAUCUUUAUGUAAGUAACGAAACUCUUUUUUUUUUUCAUUUCAAUGCUUUUAAUGAUCAUGGGUUAAUGUGAACUGUCCCAACGCACAAAGAGAGCAUAUCUGGAGAAUAUUCAUUUGAUUGGACGAUGGAAUAGACGAAGGCUCAUGACUAUUUUUUUGGAAUCAUCCAAAGCCUUUAAUCUAUAUAAUGGGAUCCCAUGGCAACAAUAUUCUAGAUGGAUCUAUUUUUGGGAUUCUACAUUUUGGUAGGCAUUUGAAACUUCAGUUGGCACUUGGUUAUCGACAAGUUUUGCUACCCCUUAAUGGCAAAUUGAGCCAAAUGGCCUUCCGUGUGACAACCAUGGAAGUCUACUUAUGAGUAGGACAAGUCUGCCACAAGCAACUUUUGAAGGUUUUUAAAAAGCAAAUGAUCAAUUUAUCUUUUAUUUAUUAUAUAAGAUUUAAUGUCGUCGGGCAAGGUGAUUUGAUGAAAGUUAUACGAAGCGAAGGGAUUGGAUGAUUAUACUUCCGUGGUUGGAUUCUUAUAACAGGUUAUACGAAGCGAAGGGAUUGGAGGAUUAUACAUUAGCCUUAGCAGAGACCCUGGCGUUAUACAUUUCAUGAUUCUAGAUCUGUAUAUAGUAAGUAUAAUAAACUUUAUAUCCACUAAGAAUGUAUUAAUGCCUUACAGUUUUGUGUUCGUGACUCAUGCGCCUCAUAGCAAUAUGUUCUAGAGUUGUAUGUACUACAUCGGUUGGGUUUGAAGUUAUAAUGGUUCUAAGGUUGUAUAACGUACAUCAAUUGGGUAUAAAGUGAUUAAAGGUUGUAUAUAGUACAUCAAAUUGGUCUUUGUAAGUUUCUCUUUAUUAUAUUGUAGAAAAUGGAGUA